CCUACUGGAGGCAGCAGUAGGGAAUUUUGCGCAAUGGGCGAAAGCCUGACGCAGCAACGCCGCGUGAUCUAGACGCCCUUCGUGGUGUAAAGAUCUGUCAGUGGUGACUAAACUUGACGGUACCCACAGAGGAAGCACCGGCUAACUCCGUGCCAGCAGCCGCGUUAAUACGGGGGGUGCACGCUGUGUCCGGAAUCAUUGGGCGUAAAGAGUUCGUAGGCGGAACGUAAAGUCGGGUGUUAAAGGCAGAGGAUAAACUUCUGUACGGCACUGGAUACUUGCGAGCUAGAAUGCGGUAGAGGUAAAGGGAAUUCCUGGUGUAGCGGUGAAAUGCUGAGAUAGCAGGAGGAACAUCGGUGGCGUAAGCGCUUUACUGGGCCGUAAUUGACGCUGAGGAAAGAAAGCCAGGGGAGCAAAUGGGAUUAGAUACCCCUGUAGUC
This 440-nucleotide ribosomal RNA is filed under the name uncultured bacterium. Its description in RNAcentral is "partial 16S ribosomal RNA". It matches the Rfam family "Bacterial small subunit ribosomal RNA", at positions 338 to 795 of the family's 1533-position model. The record is from RNAcentral.